CCGAGUUUACAACUCCCAAACCCCUGUGAACAUACCCAUCGUUGCCUCGGCGGUGCCCGCUCCGGCGGCCCGCCAGAGGACCCCCAAACUCUUGUUUUAUACAGCAUCUUCUGAGUAACACGAUUAAAUAAAUCAAAACUUUCAACAACGGAUCUCUUGGUUCUGGCAUCGAUGAAGAACGCAGCGAAAUGCGAUAAGUAAUGUGAAUUGCAGAAUUCAGUGAAUCAUCGAAUCUUUGAACGCACAUUGCGCCCGCCAGUAUUCUGGCGGGCAUGCCUGUUCGAGCGUCAUUUCAACCCUCAAGCCCCCGGGCUUGGUGUUGGGGAUCGGCGUGCCCUUCGCGGCGCGCCGUCCCCUAAAUCUAGUGGCGGUCUCGCUGCAGCUUCCUCUGCGUAGUAGCACACCUCGCACCGGAGAGCAGCGCGGCCACGCCGUUAAACCCCCCACUUCUGAAAGGUUGACCUCGGAUCAGGUAGGAAUACCCGCUGAACUUAAGCAU
RNAcentral lists this ribosomal RNA (499 nucleotides) under Neonectria ditissima. RNAcentral describes it as "eukaryotic LSU rRNA". The stretch from base 137 to 290 matches the Rfam family "5.8S ribosomal RNA". The record is from RNAcentral. Lineage: Eukaryota; Fungi; Ascomycota; Sordariomycetes; Hypocreales; Nectriaceae.